RNAcentral lists this ribosomal RNA (829 nucleotides) under uncultured Bacillota bacterium. Its description in RNAcentral is "bacterial SSU rRNA". It matches the Rfam family "Bacterial small subunit ribosomal RNA", at positions 69 to 932 of the family's 1533-position model. The record is from RNAcentral. Lineage: Bacteria; Bacillati; Bacillota.
GCAUGCCCUUCGGGGUGAUGGCGAGCGGCGGACGGCUGAGUAACGCGUGGGAAUCUGCCCCAAAGUGAGGGAUAACUGCCCGAAAGGGUGGCUAAUACCGCAUAUGGUCUACGGAUUAAAGGAGUAAUCCGCUUUGGGAGGAGCCCGCGUAAGAUUAGAUAGUUGGUGAGGUAAUGGCUCACCAAGUCGACGAUCUUUAACUGGUUUGAGAGGAUGAUCAGUCAGACUGGAACUGAGACACGGUCCAGACUCCUACGGGAGGCAGCAGUUAGGAAUAUUCCACAAUGGGGCAACCCUGAUGGAGCAACGCCGCGUGGAGGACGAAGGCCCUCGGGUCGUAAACUUCUUUUCUAUGCGAAGAAUAUGACGGUAACAUAGGAAUAAGGGUCUGCUAACUACGUGCCAGCAGCCGCGGUCAUACGUAGGACCCAAGCGUUAUCCGGAUUGACUGGGCGUAAAGAGUUGCGUAGGUGGUUUAUCAAGCGAGCAGUGAAAUCUUGUGGCUCAACCAUAAGGCUAUUGUUCGAACUGAUAAACUCGAGAAUGGAAGAGGUAUCUGGAAUUCCCAGUGUAGGAGUGAAAUCCGUAGAUAUUGGGAGGAACACCAAUGGCGUAGGCAGGAUACUGGUCCAUUCCUGACACUAAGGCACGAAAGCGUGGGGAGCGAACGGGAUUAGAUACCCCGGUAGUCCACGCCGUAAACUAUGGAUGCUAGCUGUUAGCCGUAUCGACCCGGUUAGUAGCGAAGCUAACGCGUUAAGCAUCCCGCCCGGGGAGUACGAACGCAAGUUUAAAACUCAAAGGAAUUGACGGGGACCCGCACAAGCGG